Molecule: ribosomal RNA, 429 nt
Filed under: Bacteroidota bacterium
Lineage: Bacteria; Pseudomonadati; Bacteroidota
Description: Bacteroidetes bacterium partial 16S ribosomal RNA
Rfam family: Bacterial small subunit ribosomal RNA
Source: RNAcentral
UAGGGAAUCUUCCGCAAUGGACGCAAGUCUGACGGAGCAACGCCGCGUAAGUGAAGAAGGAUUUCGGUUCGUAAAACUCUGUUGUUAGAGAAGAACAGCGCAUAGAGUAACUGUUAUGCGUGUGACGGUAUCUAACCAGAAAGCCACGGCUAACUACGUGCCAGCAGCCGCGGUAAUACGUAGGUGGCAAGCGUUGUCCGGAUUUAUUGGGCGUAAAGCGAGCGCAGGCAGUCAAUUAAGUCUGAUGUGAAAGCCCCCGGCUCAACCGGGGAGGGUCAUUGGAAACUGGUUGACUUGAGUGCAGAAGAGGAGAGUGGAAUUCCAUGUGUAGCGGUGAAAUGCGUAGAUAUAUGGAGGAACACCAGUGGCGAAGGCGACUCUCUGGUCUGUAACUGACGCUGAGGCUCGAAAGCGUGGGUAGCAAACAGG